This is a long non-coding RNA of Gasterosteus aculeatus aculeatus (three-spined stickleback), 3380 nucleotides long. The record is from Ensembl. NCBI's taxonomy places the organism in Eukaryota, Metazoa, Chordata, Actinopteri, Perciformes, Gasterosteidae.
GUCACUGGUGAUGGUCUAGUACUCACCCGGUCUCUGGUGAGGGUCUGGGUUACUCCUGUCACUGGUGAUGGUCUAGUACUCACCCGGUCUCUGGUGAGGGUCUGGGGUAGUACUCUGUCACUGGUGAUGGUCUAGUACUCACCCGGUCUCUGGUGAGGGUCUGGGGUAGUACUCUGUCACUGGUGAUGGUCUAGUACUCACCCGGUCUCUGGUGAGGGUCUGGGGUAGUACUCUGUCACUGGUGAUGGUCUAGUACUCACCCGGUCUCUGGUGAGGGUCUGGGUGCGGUUCUUGUGGAUGAUCUUGAUAUACCCUGGAGGCUGCACCCAGGCUUCCCCGUCCACCUGCACCGGGACGCCCUCAUCGCCCAGGAUUUUGAUCUUCACUGUACGGCACUGAGAGUGAGACAGACAGCGUCAGGGAGUAGAACGGCGAGACAGACAGACAAACAGACAGACAGACAGGCAGGCAGGCAGGCAGGCAGACAGGCAGACAGACAGACAGGCAGACAGGCAGACAGGCAGGUGUACCUGUGUGAUGCGGUGAUGCUGCAGGUUGAUGACCCGGGACACGGCCAUCUGCAUGCUGCCAAACACGGCCACAACCUCAAGGAUCUUAUCAUCAAAGGACGGAGCUGUGAACAUCUGACAGACAGACAGACAGGUGACAUCACUCAAUCAACAGAGAGACAGGUAACAUGACGGAGAGACAGACAGGUUCAGGUCUCACAUCAUCCUCUUUGGUUCCUCCCCAGAAGUUGGUUCCUCCUGCGUAGCUGGGGAUGUUCAACACAGCGAUGCCUUGAAGGCUGGGCAGAGGGAUGGGCCGCCCAUCACACUGUACACACACACACACACACACACACACUUUGGACUCGUGAUGAAAGGGUCGUCGUGCGCUCGGAACCUCAAGGUUGGUGUUUGAGCCCCGGCUGGCCCAUGUCUCAAGUCGAAGUGUCCCUGAGCAAGACACCUGACCCCUAAUGGCUCGAGGCCACGAGUUAAAAAUGUAAGUCGCUUUGGAUAAAAAGCGUCAGCUAAAUGACCUGUGAUCUAAUGUCAUGUGAUGAUGAUGAUGAUUGUGUCAAUCCCAUACAUUCCAAUGAUAGUCCAUCACAUGAGGAUGAAGAUGACGAUGAUGACUGUGGGUCUCACCUUCCAGCAGAACCUUCUGCUCCAGGUUCUUGUAGGUUCUGUGCAGCAGCUCUUUGGUUCCCAGGACUCCGUACCACAUCAUGUUCUUAGUCCGACUCCUGACCAUCACACACAAAGUACACACUUCAGGUUUCCAUGCAGACAAAGGUUGAUUCUUGUUGACUUGAGUAGUUAGUAGUUAAAUACCUGCACUUCUCUGGAUGCUCAUCUCUCUUGUUGUUGAAGUCCAGAGAUAUUUUAGCAUCCAGUCCGAUUCCAAAGUAGUUAUUCAUGACACACUUCUCAGUAUAGCAGUCUCUGUACACACGGACAGAAAGGCAGAAAGACACUCAGACAGACCAACAGGUAGAGAGACAGACAGUCAGACAGGUAGACAGAGAGACAGACUCACACAUUGUCGGGGUCACAGCUGAACGGGUCGGCAUUGACCAAAAGUUGACUAAUCACAGAACUGCUGGAGAGAGAAACUGAGAUUCCUCUGAGACCUGAUCCACAUACACACAGACGGGUUAACAUCCAACUGAUGACAUCUUCACAAGUUCAAACUUCCUGCGUGACCUUAGAGCUUCGUGCCUGAAUAGAGGAUCUUGGUGUUGAGUGUCGGCAUCUCCCCAUCACCGCCUUUGCUGAUCAGCUUCUCGCAGGGUGUCUUACCAACUGAGGAGACAGACAGGCACAGAGACAGUGGUCAUGGUUAUGUGCUUCCCCUUCUAUUACCUAUCCAUCUGUUACCAGCAGGACCCGAAACAGCAGAACCAGUCCCGUACCUUUGCAUGCGCUGUGGUGCUUUCUGCUAGAAGAUGACUGCAGAGACGCCCCGUCCUCCUCCUCUUCCUCCUCCUCUAAACCCUCGUCCUCCUCAGGCCGGCUGGAAGUGAACAGCUGCUGCUGGGUCUGAAGGUUCUGCUCGUCCACCGCUGGAAGAGAAACUGCAGGAUCAAUAAGAGGUCCGAGGGUCCCUCUAACUGGUGAGUGGUGCCUGUGGACCGGACCUCUCUCUGUAUGCUCCAUGAUCUGCCUGAUGGCUUUUUUCAGACUGUUUGCCCGAAGCAUCAGCUGCUCUCGAGGUUUGAAGAUGGCCGCCGUGGAGGAGGAGGCGCUGCCCCGUGGGGAACAAGGCGGAACAUGAGGAGGAGGAUGGUGACGGUGAUGAUGAAGAGAAGGAGGCCGUUCAACGCUGUCAGCGUCCUCCUGCUCCUCAGCAAUGGUGGGGGGGGGUGCCGGGGGAGGCAGCAUGCAGGCCUGAGACUCCUCAUUCAGAGUCUUCAGAAGGGAGUCAAGUUUCUCCUUCAACACGCCACACUGCAGAGACAUGACAGCAUAGAACUCAUCACAUACAUGACACAUAUAUGUAUAUAUAUAUAUAUAUAUAUAUAAAACAAACCUUCUUGGCCAUGAGCUCAGACUCAUCUGAACUUUCUGUGUUCUUUUCGGAAGCUUUACCCACCCGGGCCACCAAGUCCUUAACCGUCUCACACAGGACCCUGAAGUACACACAGAGAACACACAUUAUAUACACACGGGACCCUGAAGUACACAAAGAGAACACACAUUAUAUACACACGGGACCCUGAAGUACACACAGAGAACACACAUUAUAUACAGAGACAUAUUGAGUCAGACUAACAUGAUACACAUAGACCAACAGUAUAAGCAAGGAAGCUAACUACAGACAGACAGACAGACAGACAGACAGUUGUACCUGGCAGAGGAGAUGACGACAGAGUGCUGGUCUGAGGUCAGUAUCUUGGACAAGUGAGCAGCUACUGAGUCCUCGUAGGUGAGAAUCUGCUGAACCUCGAUCAGCAAUACAAACAAGUCAGUAGGUAAAGUUCUUUAUAUCAUUGAAUAAUUAUCUGAGGAGAAGCUAAAAGCAAAGUGGAGCCCGUUGGAAGUCAUUUCCUGUUACCUCAGAGUCGUCGCUACAGUCUUCAGUAACAGUAGAGCCAGAAUGUUGCCGCGGAAACUUGGUUUCAUAGACCAUAAUACGCCACCUAGAACAGGAGGAGAGACAGUUACCUGUCUCACACCAGCCACCUGUCUCACAUCUGGUACCUGUCUCACAUCUUGGUACCUGUCUCACAUCUUGGUACCUGUCUCGCAUCUUGGUACCUGUCUCGCAUCUUGGUACAUGUCUAGCAUCGUGGUACCUGUCUCACAUCUGGUACCUGUCUCGCAUCUUGGUACCUGUCUCACAUCUUGGUACCUGUCUCACAUCUUGGUACC